GACGAACGCUGGCGGCGUGCUUAACACAUGCAAGUCGAACGGUAAGGCCCUUCGGGGUACGACGAGUGGCGAACGGGUGAGUAACACGUGGGUGAUCUGCCCUGCACUUCGGGAUAAGCUUGGGAAACUGGGUCUAAUACCGGAUAGGACCACGGUCUGCAUGGAUUGUGGUGGAAAGCUUUUGCGGUGUGGGAUGGGCCCGCGGCCUAUCAGCUUGUUGGUGGGGUGAUGGCCUACCAAGGCGACGACGGGUAGCCGGCCUGAGAGGGUGUCCGGCCACACUAGGACUGAGAUACGGCCCAGACUCCUACGGGAGGCAGCAGUGGGGAAUAUUGCACAAUGGGCGCAAGCCUGAUGCAGCGACGCCGCGUGGGGGAUGACGGCCUCGGUUGUAACGUCUUCUAGCAUCG
RNAcentral lists this ribosomal RNA (410 nucleotides) under uncultured bacterium. Its description in RNAcentral is "bacterial SSU rRNA". It matches the Rfam family "Bacterial small subunit ribosomal RNA", at positions 28 to 443 of the family's 1533-position model. The record is from RNAcentral.